Molecule: ribosomal RNA, 253 nt
Filed under: uncultured bacterium
Lineage: Bacteria
Description: partial 16S ribosomal RNA
Rfam family: Bacterial small subunit ribosomal RNA
Source: RNAcentral
UACGUAGGGGGCGAGCGUUGUCCGGAUUUAUUGGGCGUAAAGCGCGGGCAGGCGGCCCCGUAAGUCGGCCGUGAAAGCGCCGGGCUCAACUCGGCGAGGACGGGCGAGACUGCGGGGCUCGAGCAAGGCAGAGGGCGGUGGAAUUCCGGGUGUAGUGGUGGAAUGCGUAGAGCUCCGGAGGAACACCAGUGGCGAAGGCGGCCGCCUGGGCCUUUGCUGACGCUGAGCCGCGAAAGCGUGGGGAGCGAGCCGG